GACUAGUCUGUCAUUGAUACUGUGCCCAAAUCUAUCUUCCCACUCCUCUAUGCUGGGAAAAACAACAAUGAAGGGUUUAAAGAAGCUAAAUCUGUGUACCAUAUAAUCUUAACUAUUUCAAAAAUGGGAUUGUCUAAUUUGUCCCAUUCAGAAGAUGAAUGUUGUCACUUUGUAAGUUCAAGAAAUCCUUUUAUAACAGCAGAGUCUCUAAUAAUCCUCUCAGGCACUAGUCUUAAUACACAAAUGCAAAACGGAAAUGCCCAAGAGGAUUUCAAGAGCAGCAAUAAGAGCAAUCCUCAUAGCUCUUGUGAUUCUCCGACAGACCAAUUUUUGAAUCGUUUCACGUUUAGACCUACAAGUUUUUAACAAAAUUCUUUGCUAUCAAAUAAUGGCAGCAUAGGUAAUAAUAGGACUGACAACCAUAGUAUAUAUUCAGUAUAGCAACCUUGUUUAAGUUCCCAUAUCUUACCCAAAAUACCACUACAAGCUCCUCUGACUAUUGAGAAUAGAACCCCAGUGUUUAACAUUAACAUUAUAUCUAUGGAAAUUGAUUCUUGAUUUAUGAAUUCUUAAAUUUAAUGAGUUCAUUCCAAGAAUGAAUGUAAAGGAGGC
This 612-nucleotide long non-coding RNA is filed under the name Androctonus crassicauda. The record is from RNAcentral. Lineage: Eukaryota; Metazoa; Arthropoda; Arachnida; Scorpiones; Buthidae.